Molecule: ribosomal RNA, 463 nt
Filed under: uncultured bacterium
Lineage: Bacteria
Description: partial 16S ribosomal RNA
Rfam family: Bacterial small subunit ribosomal RNA
Source: RNAcentral
GACGAACGCUGGCGGCGUGCUUAACACAUGCAAGUCGAACGGAGAACCUCUGCGGAGGGGGUCAGUGGCGGACGGGUGCGUAACACGAAGGCAACCUGCACCCGGCUCUGGGAUAACUCCAAGAACUUGGGGCUAAUACCGAUAGUUCACCGCUUCCCCCAUUGGAGGGGGUGGAAUGGAUUUGCGGGUGGGGAGGGGCCCGCGGCCUAGCAGCUUGUUGGGGGGGUAGUGGACUACCAUGGCUAGGCCGGGAAGCCGGCCUGGGCGGGUGACCGGCCACCUUGGGACUGAGAGACGGCCCAGACUCCUACGGGGGGCAGCAGUGGGGAAUAUUGCGCAAUGGGCGGAAGCCUGAUGCAGCAACGCCGCGUGGGGGAUGACGGCCUUCGGGUUGUAAACCGCUUUCGCCUGUGACGAAGCGUGAGUGACGGUACUGGGUAAAGAAGCACCGGCUAACUACGUG